This 23-nucleotide small nuclear RNA is filed under the name Arabidopsis thaliana (thale cress). RNAcentral's name for it is "snRNA_13129". Lineage: Eukaryota; Viridiplantae; Streptophyta; Magnoliopsida; Brassicales; Brassicaceae. The record is from RNAcentral.
ACGUGUGUUAACGGAACUAACAU